UUAGACNUGAGUGCAGAAGGGGAGAGUGGAAUUCCAUGUGUAGCGGUGAAAUGNGUAGAUAUAUGGAGGAACACCGGUGGCGAAAGCGGCUCUCUGGUNUGUCACUGACGCUGAGGCUCGAAAGCGUGGGUAGCGAACAGGAUUAGAUACCCUGGUAGUCCACGCCGUAAACGCUGAGUGCUAGGUGUUAGGUCCUUUCCGGGACUUAGUGCCGACGCUAACGCAUUAAGCACUCCGCNUGGGGAGUACGACCGCAAGGUUGAAACUCAAAGGAAUUGACGGGGGCCCGCACAAGCGGUGGAGCAUGUGGUUUAAUUCGAAGCAACGCGAAGAACCUUACCAGGUCUUGACAUCCCGAUGCCCGCUCUAGAGAUAGAGUUUUACUUUUUGUACAUCGGAGACAGGUGGUGCAUGGUUGUCGUCAGCUCGUGUCGUGAGAUGUUGGGUNAANNNNNNNNNNCGAGCGCAACCCUUAUUGUUAGUUGCCAUCAUUAAGUUGGGCACUCUAGCGAGACUGCCGGUAAUAAACNGGAGGAAGGUGGGGAUGACGUCAAAUCAUCAUGCCCCUUAUGACCUGGGCUACACACGUGCUACAAUGGUUGGUACAACGAGUCGCAAGCCGGUGACGGCAAGCUAAUUUCUGAAAGCCAAUCUCAGUUCGGAUUGUAGGCUGCAACUCGCCUACAUGAAGUCGGAAUCGCUAGUAAUCGCGGAUCAGCACGCCGCGGUGAAUACGUUCCCGGGCCU
RNAcentral lists this ribosomal RNA (747 nucleotides) under uncultured bacterium. RNAcentral's name for it is "partial 16S ribosomal RNA". It matches the Rfam family "Bacterial small subunit ribosomal RNA", at positions 636 to 1381 of the family's 1533-position model. The record is from RNAcentral.